GCAUUAGUGGCUCAGUGUCUAAAGCGCCGGCCUUGUAAGCCGGAUACCGAGGGUUUAAAUCCCUCCUACUGCU
Molecule: transfer RNA, 73 nt
Filed under: Brachyistius frenatus (kelp perch)
Lineage: Eukaryota; Metazoa; Chordata; Actinopteri; Embiotocidae
Description: tRNA-Thr
Rfam family: tRNA
About the family: Transfer RNA (tRNA) molecules are approximately 80 nucleotides in length.
Source: RNAcentral